RNAcentral lists this ribosomal RNA (553 nucleotides) under uncultured bacterium. Its description in RNAcentral is "bacterial SSU rRNA". It matches the Rfam family "Archaeal small subunit ribosomal RNA", at positions 723 to 1275 of the family's 1478-position model. The record is from RNAcentral.
AGUGAAUAGAUACCCAGGUAGUCCUAGCCGUAAACGAUACUCGCUAGGUGUCGGCCACGGUGCGACCGUUGUCGGUGCCGUAGGGAAAGCCGUGAAGCGAGCCACCUGGGAAGUACGGCCGCAAGGCUGAAACUUAAAGGAAUUGGCGGGGGAGCACCACAACGGGUGGAGCUUGCGGUUAAAUUGGAUUCAACGCCGGAAAUCUUACCGGGACCGACAGCGAUAUGAAGGCCAGGCUGAAGACUUUGCCGGAUUAGCUGAGAGGUGGUGCAUGGCCGUCGUCAGUUCGUACUGUGAAGCAUCCUGGUAAGUCAGGCAACGAGCGAGACCCACGCCCACAGUUGCCAGCGUACUCUCCGGAGUGACGGGUACACUGUGGGGACCGCCGCUGCUAAAGCGGAGGAAGGAAUGGGCAACGGUAGGUCAGUAUGCCCCGAAUAUCCCGGGCUACACGCGAGCUACAAUGGUUGGAACAAUGGGUAUCUACCCCGAAAGGGGAUGGAAAUCUCCUAAAUCCAAUCUUAGUUCGGAUUGAGGGCUGCAACUCGCCCUC